CACGUAGGCGGCAGAGUAAGUCAAAGGUGAAAGCCCUCGGCUCAACCGAGGAACUGCCUUUGAAACUGCCCUGCUUGAGUCCGGGAGGGGGGAGCGGAAUUCCCAGUGUAGCGGUGAAAUGCGUAGAUACUGGGAGGAACACCGGUGGCGAAGGCGGCUCCCUGGACCGGUACUGACGCUGAGGUGCGAAAGCGUGGGGAGCAAACA
RNAcentral lists this ribosomal RNA (207 nucleotides) under uncultured bacterium. RNAcentral describes it as "partial 16S ribosomal RNA". It matches the Rfam family "Bacterial small subunit ribosomal RNA", at positions 568 to 774 of the family's 1533-position model. The record is from RNAcentral.